This 295-nucleotide long non-coding RNA is filed under the name Medicago truncatula (barrel medic). RNAcentral describes it as "long non-coding RNA (MTRU_LNC003563)". The record is from RNAcentral. Lineage: Eukaryota; Viridiplantae; Streptophyta; Magnoliopsida; Fabales; Fabaceae.
UCCACAAGUCCCCAACCUUGGCCUCCUUUUGCGUUGAAAAAGAGUAUAGACGAGGGAAUCUAUUAUAAAGCAAUGUUUCCCAACAUCACCUAUACUUCCAAAAAUUAGUCUUCCAGCCAUUGCCCACUUUUCUCAACACCCUAUUUGUAAACUAAUCAUCCCCCACACUCCCAUCCAAUAGGAUCAAAUCCUUCCAACACAACGAUGUAAACCUCAACUAUUUUGCUCCUACCACCAGUUCCAAACCUUCAAUUUGCUCACCAUACUUCUCCAUCAAAACUUGCUUUGAAAGAGA